GUAGGUGAACCUGCGGAAUGAUCAUUGAACACACGAUCUAUGAAAAACUCUGCGAAUCGUUUUGUACAGCGAGGGAUCGUGCCCGGAGGCACGAUCGUCGGUGCUCGAGUCGGGUUUCAUGUGCGUCCGCCGUGGCCCUCCCGUUGGGCGCGUGGCGGGAUUAAGUGAU
RNAcentral lists this ribosomal RNA (169 nucleotides) under Prionolejeunea guadalupensis. RNAcentral describes it as "partial 18S ribosomal RNA". Lineage: Eukaryota; Viridiplantae; Streptophyta; Jungermanniopsida; Porellales; Lejeuneaceae. The record is from RNAcentral.